GUCCGCCCGCCCUCGGCUCCUCCGCCGUGAUGCUGUCCCGGUCCCGCUGUGUGUCCCGGGCGUUCAGCCGCUCGCUCUCCGCCUUCCAGAAGGGGAACUGCCCUCUAGGGAGACGUUCCCUGCCUGGGGUCUCCUUAUGCCAGGGACCAGGUUACCCUAACAGCAGGAAGGUUGUGUAAGUAUCACUGGGGAGUACAGAUAUGUGGCCACGGGUUAUUUAUUUAAAGACAUCAAGUUCUAAAUUUGACCAUCUGAUUUCUUCACUGGCCUCCAGACCUAGAAAUUGAGGUGAUUAUGUUGAGUCCCUAGACUAACCUUAAUGUUCACUUUUCCCAUGUGAUGUUCCUUGAGCAUCAGCUCCGUGUCAGGUUUUGGACUGGGAGUGUGCCCACUCUCCACAGGUGUUUGGAUUAUAAUGAAAGUUAAGUUGGAAUCCUCUUUUUAUGGGAUAUAGAAGGGUGCUCCUAGAUAUUCUAUUUGGAUGUAAGUGCAGCUGAAAGGCUCGAGGUUACAUUUAUUGUGGAGAUUGAGAGCAUCCUCUCAGUAGCAUAGUUACUCAUUUUUA
This 565-nucleotide small RNA is filed under the name Pan troglodytes (chimpanzee). RNAcentral's name for it is "retained intron". Lineage: Eukaryota; Metazoa; Chordata; Mammalia; Primates; Hominidae. The record is from RNAcentral.